GACGAACCGAGCGACCGUUAUUCGGAAUUACUGGGCGUAAAGCGCGCGUAGGCGGCUUUGCAAGUCGGGUGUGAAAUCCCCAGGCUUAACCUGGGAACUGCAUUCGAGACUGCAUUGCUAGAGUAUGGGAGAGGGAAGUGGAAUUUCCGGUGUAGCGGUGAAAUGCGUAGAUAUCGGAAGGAACAUCAGUGGCGAAAGCGACUUCCUGGACCAAUACUGACGCUCAUGUGCGAAAGCGUGGGGAGCAAACAGG
This 253-nucleotide ribosomal RNA is filed under the name uncultured bacterium. RNAcentral describes it as "partial 16S ribosomal RNA". It matches the Rfam family "Bacterial small subunit ribosomal RNA", at positions 524 to 776 of the family's 1533-position model. The record is from RNAcentral.